GACGAACGCUGGCGGCGUGCUUAACACAUGCAAGUCGAGCGAUGAAGCACCUUCGGGUGUGAAUUAGCGGCGAACGGGUGAGGAACACGUGAGAAAUCUGCCUUCAACACUGGGAUAACUCCGGGAAACCGGGGCUAAUACCGGAUAUGAAACCUGCGGGCAUCCGCGGGUUUGGAAAGUUUUUCGGUUGAAGAUGAUCUCGCGGCCUAUCAGCUUGUUGGUGAGGUAAUGGCUCACCAAGGCGACGACGGGUAGCCGGCCUGAGAGGGCGACCGGCCACACUGGGACUGAGACACGGCCCAGACUCCUACGGGAGGCAGCAGUGGGGAAUAUUGGGGCAAUGGAGGAAACUCUGACCCAGCGACGCCGCGUGCGGGAUGAAGGCCUUCGGUGUAAACCGCUUUCAGCAGGGAAGAAGCGAAAGUGACGGUACCUGCAGAAGAAGCACCGGCUAACUAUGUG
Molecule: ribosomal RNA, 462 nt
Filed under: uncultured bacterium
Lineage: Bacteria
Description: bacterial SSU rRNA
Rfam family: Bacterial small subunit ribosomal RNA
Source: RNAcentral